UGCAAGUCGAGCGGAAACGACUUAACUGAACCUUCGGGGAACGUUAAGGGCGUCGAGCGGCGGACGGGUGAGUAAUGCCUGGGAAUAUGCCUUAGUGUGGGGGAUAACUAUUGGAAACGAUAGCUAAUACCGCAUAAUGUCUUCGGACCAAAGAGGGGGACCUUCGGGCCUCUCGCGCUAAGAUUAGCCCAGGUGAGAUUAGCUAGUUGGUGAGGUAAGAGCUCACCAAGGCGACGAUCUCUAGCUGGUCUGAGAGGAUGAUCAGCCACACUGGAACUGAGACACGGUCCAGACUCCUACGGGAGGCAGCAGUGGGGAAUAUUGCACAAUGGGCGAAAGCCUGAUGCAGCCAUGCCGCGUGUAUGAAGAAGGCCUUCGGGUUGUAAAGUACUUUCAGUAGGGAGGAAGGUGUUGUAGUUAAUAGCUGCAGCAUUUGACGUUACCUACAGAAGAAGCACCGGCUAACUCCGUGCCAGCAGCCGCGGUAAUACGGAGGGUGCGAGCGUUAAUCGGAAUUACUGGGCGUAAAGCGCAUGCAGGUGGUUCAUUAAGUCAGAUGUGAAAGCCCGGGGCUCAACCUCGGAACCGCAUUUGAAACUGGUGAACUAGAGUGCUGUAGAGGGGGGUAGAAUUUC
RNAcentral lists this ribosomal RNA (635 nucleotides) under uncultured Vibrio sp. RNAcentral describes it as "bacterial SSU rRNA". It matches the Rfam family "Bacterial small subunit ribosomal RNA", at positions 56 to 670 of the family's 1533-position model. Lineage: Bacteria; Pseudomonadati; Pseudomonadota; Gammaproteobacteria; Vibrionales; Vibrionaceae. The record is from RNAcentral.